CUAGGUUAUGUGAUCUUUUAUAAAUUAAAGUGGUUUCUUGAUAAACAUAUUAUUUGAACAUUUUCUUUACUGUUCAUUUCUUUUACAGGUUUUUCAAUAAGUUAUUCUGUUGCUUAAAAGACUUUGUGUGUUUUAGAAUGAAGAAAAUGAUCACCAGUACAUUAAAAAAAAGAAGAUUCCUGAUACAAACAACCAAAAAGGUUGGUUGUGAGGCCAAACUUGUAGUAAGAUAUAUUACCAGACCUACAAACAGAUGUGACAUGUGUGCUCCAGUUUGCAGUUAAGAAAUCCUUCGUCUUAGAAAAAGUUAAAGAAUUUCUGUUUUCAAUUGACGACCCACACUAUCAGUCUCUGCUGACCGAAGCACAGAGGUCAGAACAGUGUCAAUCUGCAGAUAUGACUGAAAGAAUUGGUGCAGCUGUAUUACGUGAUGUUUGUGCACAUGAAGAAGAAACUGAAGCAUUGUUAAUUUCAUUGAAAGCCAUAGCCCCAAGUAACCAACUAGAAACUGUGCAAUACAGACUUGUCUAUAUGAUUUUGGAGAACUUGGGUUUGUCUGUCCAGGAGGUGAUUGGAAUUACACCAGCAAAAGAUCCAAGAUUAAAACAGGCCAAAAUUGACAAAUGUAUACAGGAACAUCUCAAAGGUUCAAAAUCCACAGUCAGCUUCACCAAAGAAGCGAUAGAAUUAAAGAAAAAGGCACAGCUUAAUGCAGACUGUUCAGAAUGCUAUCCUGGAGGAGGUUUGAUAAAUCCUAAGGGAAAAAACUUGUGUUUUGCAAAUGCACUUCUGCAGUGCAUGAGAAUUGCUGAUCUUCAUAGAAUUCUUCAGUAUCACACAGCUUGUACAGAUGAAGACAGCUGUUUCACAUGCAGCUUAAAAAAACUCAUGACAGAAGGUUCCAUAACUGCAGAGCCUGUAUGCCGGAAAAUGACAAGCAUUUGGAGUUCUUAUAAAGAAGGUCAGCAACAAGAUUCACAUGAGUUGCUGCAUAUAAUGAUGCAAGAGAUCAAGGAGAAAUGCUUUGGGUCAGACAAUACUUUAUAUAGUGAAGAAAAAAGAUUGUUUUAUGGGCAGGAGAAGAGCUUGUUGAAUUGUAACAGUUGUCAAGCUGCAUCCUCAACAAAAGCUGCAUUUUCCUCAUUUAGCUUGCCCAUUGAAAAGCAUCAGAAUAUUGCUGAAGCCAUUGGAGGCAAUUUUAAAAGUGAAGAAGUUGAAAGGAAAUGUGAUUUGUAAGUAAAAUGUUACCAAAUAACAUCAAAAUAAUAUUGAAGGAACUUAUAGAUAUAGGAAGAUGUGGUGUGAGUGCCAAUUAUGUUUGGCAAAUAGACUCAAAUUGAAAGUGUGCAAGUCUUUUACUGCAAACCAAAUGAAUGGUUUCCAAAGAGUUAUCUCCUCUUGGACUGUGGGUCUUUAUCAUUUAAUAAUUGAUGAAAGUACAUGUAUUUUCUCACACAACUGUAUGUGAUGUUAUAUUUAUUAAAUGUCAAUAACAUAAUUAUCAAUCUCCACAAUGCAAACAUUUAAAAGUUCAUUUCUGACAAUUUCUAACUGAAGUUCAUAUUGAAUUCUAUUCUUUUUUAUAUAUUAUAUUUAGGCCUUCUUUAUAAACCACAAAAAAUAAAAGAAAAAGUUAGUGAACUGUAUGGCGUAAUCGUACACAAAGGAAAUACUCUGUCUACUGGCCAUUACUAUGCCUUUAUAUUAUUGGGUACACAGUGGUAUCUUGUGGAUGACAUGCAUGUAAAACAAGUUACUAUUCAAAGUCUGCAGAACAUAGACGGACAGCCAUAUUUACUUUUCUACAGAAUAAUGCAAAGGCCAUAUUUAGGAUUUGAUUAGAAGGGUACAUACUUUUACAGAAGAUGUUUAUAUAUCCCUUAUUUUUGUAACCAAACAAGUUUGCUGUGAUAUUAAUAAUACAAAACGGAUUGAUGUUCAAAAUAUUAAAUUUUUACUUUGCAUUUAUAGUUUUCAAAUUCCAAUAGGGAACCAACUUUAUAUAACAUUGUAUCAAUAAACCAAUUUUUCAAAACUUUUUGGCCAUUGGCCUUCUUCAGUUCUUUAUUUCUCCUCACAACUACAUGACUGACAUUACAUUUUCCAACUUGCUGUUUAAAAAUCGGGUCUUAGUCAGUUAUUUUUUUUAAUUAUUUUUUUAGAUUUCAAGAUAAAGAUCAUAUUCAUAUUUUUUUAUUUAUUGUAAGAAGCUUUGACUUGCAUUUGAAAUUGAUUUAUUUUCUAUUAAAAGUAUUAGAGAGUACAUGUAUUACAUGUAUAUCAUAUUUUGCAUUAUACUCAUGUUGAAAUACUUUUUUGUUAUCAAAUCAUGUUUUUAAUGAUGUCAUCUUCAAACUGAAGUGUUUCAACUGUAUUUAAAUUAUAUGAUCAUUUUCAAAAUGUUUACAAAAUUUUGAAUUUUUUAAAUACUUAGGCUUUUCUACCUCAGACAUAGAUUGCCAUAGCUGUAUUUGGCAAAACUUUUAGGAAUUUUGGUCCUCAAUGCUCUUCAACUUUGUACUUUAUUUGGCAAUUUUAACUUUUUUGGAUUCGAGCGUCACUGAUGAGUCUUUUUUAGACCAAACGUGCGUCUGGCGUAUAUACUAAAUUUAGUCCUGGUAUCUAUGAUGAGUUUAUUUCAUAACACCAUGAACAAGACUAUUUCUUGGCACCCUCAGUUUUCCAAUUGACUGGAUUAGGGGAAGUUCAUUUAAGUUACAUAUAGUGCUCACUUGUCAUAUUGUACUUGUUACAGACAAUUAAACUGAAGAGUUGCCAAUCAAUACAUUUUACAAAUGUACGAAAAAUUAUCUGUAUAUGUUAGAAAAAGUUAUUUCAAGCAAUGCAUCUGAAAAAUGAUAUAAUAAGUGUAAAUAAUCCAGUAAUUGCUUUGAAUUCUGAAAUAGGGAAGAUGCACAAUGUAAUUUGAAUAUCAUCUUCAAUGUUCAAACCUUAUUAUUAACUAUAAAUUAUUUUAAGAACAUGUUAUGAUAUGAUGCAUAAACGAGGUAAAGAAAUUCGCAAGGAUAAAGUGAAUACAAUGUGGUUCUUUAGCAUAGAUUGUAAUUUGUUACCAAAGCUGGAUAUUCAAUAUGUAAAUUAAAACCAGUAAUUUUACUCUGUACCUAAAUUUAUCAAAGAUAAGUUAUAACAAACCUGAUGUAAUUUGCGGGAGGGAUAUAUAAAUAAGUUAUUACAAUUAGACUAAGUAAACUUAAUACUUAUUAUUUUUUCUUUGAAACUCUACCUUGUUUUCACACAAAAUUUUUGGAUCCAAUUGAUUAUAUCAAGAUUUAGUUUUGGUCUUGUGGCUUUUUGUCAGUUUACCCCUUAAAUAAAGUUGAGAUAUACUUUAUAACUGAAAGCCCUCUAAAAAUUGAAAAAGUAAGACGAGGACAGAAUAUGUUAACAUCUGGAUAGCAUAACAUCAUAAAAGUUAAUUUGUGUUUUUUUUACUUUUUCAUGUUGCUAAAUGAAUAAACUUGCAUCAAUUAUAAUAGUUCAUUCAUUCAGAAACAAAGCUUGUAGAAAAGCAGGUUUCUACCUAAGUUAACUAAGCUUAUGGAAGUCAAUUUCAUAUAACAUGUUAUUUAGGUACAUAUGUGAUCUAUAUAUCUGAUGAUCCAAGUGUAAAUGUAUCUUACACUUAUUAUAUAAUGUAUAAGUCAAUAAGAAAGUAUAUGUAUUGUUAUAUAUAAAUUAUAAGUUUCAAACCUCUAUUACUGGUAAUAUCCAUAUGAUGUAUUAUCUUUUAUAUGUGUUACAUGUGAAGACUGAGUAUGCUGGUGAUUAUAGUUGUAAGGAUGACUGUUCAGCUGUGUUUAAGUUUAAGUUAUAUGUUAUGUUAAAACUGGUUGGCAUAAUCUAUGUGACUGGUCAGAAUAUAUCCUGGUUUGAUAUUUUAAGUGCCUAUUGUUUAAAAUAGAGGAAUACUUGGGAUAACUCAUUGCAAAUUUCAGGUAUUUUGAUAAGUUGAAAGAUGUCUUUAAGAAAUUACUAUGUCAUUAGAUAUUUAUUUUUUUUGUUGUUAUGUUGUCAGAUAGAUGUCAUUUAUUGUCAAGUUAAGACUUUUAUACAACACUUCAUGUAAUGUCUGAGUAAAAUGAUGAUUGAUAUAUUAUAAAAAUGAUAUCAUAGUGUCCAAUUGUAUUGAUUCAUUAUACAUCAUGUGGUAUCUUAUUGAAUGGUUGUUCAUAGUUAGACAGAUGCUGUAUUUAACCAGGGACGAAUAUAGAUAACUUCUUAACAAUCCUUGUCCCGAUAAAAAAUAUGUAGAGAAUCAUUGGAGAAACCACACUGUACACCUUAAAACUUUAAAAGUUGUUGAUGGAUUUUAAUGAAAUAAAGAUUUUCUUAAACUUAAAUGAUUCUUCAUUGAUAGAGUUAAUUUGGUUAAUAAUGUUCAUGUCUUUCAUGUAAUUUGAAUUAUUUAAGAAAGGAGGGUAAUUAUUUUUUGGGCAUUAUUCUACAUUUUGGGAAAAAAACCACAAUAAAACGUAUAGUUCAACUUUUCAGCUAAAAACUUAAAAAGUUCUUGAUUGAUUUUGAUGAAAAUUAUUUUGUCUGAAGUCUUAAUGUUUUUUACAUGUACAGAAGAAUUUUCAUGGUUAUCAAUAAGGUAUAAGAUUAAAUAUAAGUAAUUU
RNA transcript from Mytilus trossulus (common blue mussel), 4643 nucleotides. It is a transcript of the gene named ubiquitin carboxyl-terminal hydrolase 17-like protein D, with no coding region annotated. The record is from RefSeq and is a predicted model, not a curated record. The transcript is spliced from 12 exons. Lineage: Eukaryota; Metazoa; Mollusca; Bivalvia; Mytilida; Mytilidae.